This 402-nucleotide ribosomal RNA is filed under the name uncultured bacterium. Its description in RNAcentral is "bacterial SSU rRNA". It matches the Rfam family "Bacterial small subunit ribosomal RNA", at positions 355 to 775 of the family's 1533-position model. The record is from RNAcentral.
UAGGGAAUAUUGGUAAUCUGGGAAACCGGGAACCAGCAACGCCGCGUGCGCGAUGGAGGCCUUCGGGUUGUAAAGCGCUUUUUAAAGGGAUGAGGAAGGACAGUACCUUUAGAAUAAGCCUCGGCUAACUACGUGCCAGCAGCCGCGGUAAAACGUAGGAGGCGAGCGUUAUCCGGAUUUACUGGGCGUAAAGCGUGUGCAGGCGGUUUGAUAAGUUGGAUGUGAAAGCUCCUGGCUUAACCGGGGAGGUCGUUCAAAACUAUCAGACUAGAGAGUGGUAGAGGGAGAUGGAAUUCCGCGUGUAGUGGUGAAAUGCGUAGAUAUGCGGAGGAACACCAGUGGCGAAAGCAGUCUCCUGGCCCAUUUCUGACGCUCAGACACGAAAGCUAAGGUAGCAAACGG